AGAGUUUGAUCCUGGCUCAGGAUGAACGCCGGCGGUGUGCCUAAUACAUGCAAGUCGAACGCGUUGGCCCAAUUGAUUGAUGGUGCUUGCACCUGAUUGAUUUUGGUCGCCAACGAGUGGCGGACGGGUGAGUAACACGUAGGUAACCUGCCCAGAAGCGGGGGACAACAUUUGGAAACAGAUGCUAAUACCGCAUAACAGCGUUGUUCGCAUGAACAACGCUUAAAAGAUGGCUUCUUGCUAUCACUUCUGGAUGGACCUGCGGUGCAUUAGCUUGUUGGUGGGGUAACGGCCUACCAAGGCGAUGAUGCAUAGCCGAGUUGAGAGACUGAUCGGCCACAAUGGGACUGAGACACGGCCCAUACUCCUACGGGAGGCAGCAGUAGGGAAUCUUCCACAAUGGGCGCAAGCCUGAUGGAGCAACACCGCGUGAGUGAAGAAGGGUUUCGGCUCGUAAAGCUCUGUUGUUAAAGAAGAACACGUAUGAGAGUAACUGUUCAUACGUUGACGGUAUUUAACCAGAAAGUCACGGCUAACUACGUGCCAGCAGCCGCGGUAAUACGUAGGUGGCAAGCGUUAUCCGGAUUUAUUGGGCGUAAAGAGAGUGCAGGCGGUUUUCUAAGUCUGAUGUGAAAGCCUUCGGCUUAACCCGGAGAAGUGCAUCGGAAACUGGAUAACUUGAGUGCAGAAGAGGGUAGUGGAAACUCCAUGUGUAGCGGUGGAAUGCGUAGAUAUAUGGAAGAACACCAGUGGCGAAGGCGGCUACCUGGUCUGCAACUGACGCUGAGACUCGAAAGCAUGGGUAGCGAACAGGAUUAGAUACCCUGGUAGUCCAUGCCGUAAACGAUGAGUGCUAGGUGUUGGAGGGUUUCCGCCCUUCAGUGCCGGAGCUAACGCAUUAAGCACUCCGCCUGGGGAGUACGACCGCAAGGUUGAAACUCAAAGGAAUUGACGGGGGCCCGCACAAGCGGUGGAGCAUGUGGUUUAAUUCGAAGCUACGCGAAGAACCUUACCAGGUCUUGACAUCUUGCGCCAACCCUAGAGAUAGGGCGUUUCCUUCGGGAACGCAAUGACAGGUGGUGCAUGGUCGUCGUCAGCUCGUGUCGUGAGAUGUUGGGUUAAGUCCCGCAACGAGCGCAACCCUUGUUACUAGUUGCCAGCAUUAAGUUGGGCACUCUAGUGAGACUGCCGGUGACAAACCGGAGGAAGGCGGGGACGACGUCAGAUCAUCAUGCCCCUUAUGACCUGGGCUACACACGUGCUACAAUGGACGGUACAACGAGUCGCGAACUCGCGAGGGCAAGCAAAUCUCUUAAAACCGUUCUCAGUUCGGACUGCAGGCUGCAACUCGCCUGCACGAAGUCGGAAUCGCUAGUAAUCGCGGAUCAGCAUGCCGCGGUGAAUACGUUCCCGGGCCUUGUACACACCGCCCGUCACACCAUGAGAGUUUGUAACACCCAAAGUCGGUGGGGUAACCUUUUAGGAGCCAGCCGCCUAAGGUGGGACAGAUGAUUAGGGUGAAGUCGUAACAAGGUAGCCGUAGGAGAACCUGCGGCUGGAUCACCUCCUU
This 1570-nucleotide ribosomal RNA is filed under the name Limosilactobacillus fermentum. RNAcentral's name for it is "bacterial SSU rRNA". It matches the Rfam family "Bacterial small subunit ribosomal RNA". Lineage: Bacteria; Bacillati; Bacillota; Bacilli; Lactobacillales; Lactobacillaceae. The record is from RNAcentral.